RNA transcript from Phodopus roborovskii (desert hamster), 3441 nucleotides. It is a transcript of the gene named Rho GTPase activating protein 17, with no coding region annotated. The transcript has 22 exons. The record is from RefSeq and is a predicted model, not a curated record. Lineage: Eukaryota; Metazoa; Chordata; Mammalia; Rodentia; Cricetidae.
AGGGCGGGCCCGACUUGUAGCCUCGGUCGCCGCCUCUCGGGCCGGGAAACGAUGUAGGAACCGCCAGACAGUCCCCAGCUCUCCCCGGCCCGAGCCCCGCGGCCUGCCGCCGUCGCAGCCGCCGCCAUGAAGAAGCAAUUCAACCGCAUGAAGCAGCUGGCCAACCAGACCGUCGGCAGAGCUGAGAAAACAGAAGUUCUCAGUGAAGAUCUGCUUCAGAUUGAACGGCGUCUGGACACUGUGCGGUCAAUGUGCCACCAUUCACAUAAGCGCUUGAUAGCAUGCUUCCAGGGUCAGCAUGGCACCGAUGUUGAGAGGAGACAUAAAAAGCUUCCUCUGACAGCACUUGCCCAGAACAUGCAGGAGGCAUCAACCCAGCUAGAAGAGUCUCUCCUGGGGAAGAUGCUGGAGACCUGUGGGGAUGCUGAGAAUCAACUGGCUCUUGAGCUCUCACAGCAUGAAGCCUUUGUCGAGAAGGAGAUAGUGGACCCUCUCUAUGGCAUAGCAGAGGUGGAGAUUCCCAACAUCCAAAAACAAAGGAAACAGCUUGCUAGACUGGUGUUGGACUGGGAUUCUGUCAGAGCAAGGUGGAACCAAGCACACAAGUCUUCAGGAACAAACUUUCAGGGGCUUCCAUCCAAGAUAGACACCCUAAAGGAAGAGAUGGAUGAAGCUGGAAAUAAAGUCGAACAGUGCAAGGAUCAACUUGCAGCAGAUAUGUACAAUUUCAUGGCCAGAGAAGGAGAAUACGGCAAAUUCUUUGUGAUGUUAUUAGAAGCCCAAGCAGAUUACCAUAGAAAAGCAUUAGCAGUCUUAGAAAAGGCCCUUCCCGAAAUGCGCGCCCAUCAAGAUAAGUGGGCAGAGAAGCCAGCCUUCGGUACCCCCCUGGAGGAACACCUGAAGAGGAGUGGGCGUGAGAUUGCUCUCCCUAUUGAGGCCUGUGUCAUGUUGUUGCUGGAGACUGGCAUGAAGGAGGAGGGUCUUUUUCGGAUUGGGGCUGGAGCCUCCAAAUUAAAGAAGUUGAAAGCUGCUCUGGACUGCUCCACAUCUCAUCUGGAUGAAUUCUAUUCAGACCCCCAUGCUGUAGCAGGUGCUUUGAAGUCUUAUUUGCGGGAAUUGCCUGAGCCCUUGAUGACUUUCGGUCUGUAUGAAGAAUGGACACAAGUUGCAAGUGUGCAGGAUCAAGACAAAAAACUUCAAUAUUUAUGGACUACGUGUCAGAAGUUGCCACCACAAAAUUUUGUUAACUUUAGGUAUUUAAUCAAGUUUCUUGCAAAGCUUGCCCAGACCAGUGACGUUAAUAAAAUGACUCCUAGCAACAUUGCCAUUGUGCUGGGCCCUAACCUGUUGUGGGCCAAACAAGAAGGAACACUGGCUGAAAUAGCAGCUGCCACUUCUGUCCACGUGGUCGCGGUGAUUGAACCUAUCAUCCAGCAUGCAGAUUGGUUCUUCCCUGGAGAGAUAGAAUUCAAUGUGUCAGAAGCAUUUGUUCCUCUUGUUACCCCAAAUUCUAAUCACUCAACCCACACUGGAAAUGACUCUGACUCGGGGACCCUGGAGAGGAAGCGACCAGCCAGCAUGGCGGUGAUGGAAGGGGACUUGGUGAAGAAGGAGAGCUUUGGUGUGAAGCUUAUGGACUUCCAGGCCCACCGGCGGGGUGGCACUCUAACUAGAAAGCACAUAUCCCCUGCUUUCCAGCCGCCUCUCCCGCCCACAGAUGGCAACGCCUUGGCUCCAGCAGGCCCAGAGGCUCCUUCUCAGAGCUCUAGGUCUGACAGCAGCUCAGGGGGUGGGCCUGUCCCCUCUUCUGCAGGCAUAUUGGAGCAGGGGCUGAGCCCGGGUGACAGCAGUCCUCCAAAACCCAAAGACUCUGUGUCUGCAGCUGUCCCUGCACCAGGAAGAAACAACACCCAGGUGACCACAGGCCCAAGCCAGGCCCAGGCAGGUGGCAGCUCCCAUCAGCUCUCAGUGGGCACACCUCUCAGUGCAGCUGGUCCCAGCCCUCACACUCUGCGUCGAGCUGUGAAGAAACCUGCCCCAGCACCCCCAAAACCAGGAAACCCACCUCCUGGCCACCCUGGGGGUCAGAGCUCUCCAGGCACAGGAACAUCCCCAAAGCCGAACACACGCAGCCCAUCGCCACCCCCGCAGCAGGCCCCGGGCACACGCCGCAGCUCCAGCAGCCUGCCUCCCAUCCAGGCACCCAGCCACCCACCACCGCAACCCCCUACACAACCCCGGCUGGGAGAGCAGGGACCAGAGCCGGGGCCCACGCCACCGCAAACUCCCACACCACCCAGCACCCCGCCCUUGGCCAAGCAGAAUCCCUCGCAUAGUGAGACCACACAGCAGCAUGGGACCCUCCCAAGGCAGCGGCCGGUGCCCAAGCCCCGUAACCGGCCUAGUGUGCCGCCACCCCCGCAUCCGCCUGGUGCCCACGCAGGGGAUAGCAGCCUUGCAGCACCCACAGCCUCCAGAAUUGUUACUGAUGCCCUUCCCAGUGCCCUCACAGGUGGGGAAGGUUUCCAGAACUAAGAUGUAUGACCUGGCAUAUUCAGUAGGAACUGAAAUUGGAAUGUUUAAUGACACCAAUUCUAGGAGUUCGGAAUCACUUCGCAACAUCUUUCCUGAAAUUCAUUCAGACUUGGCAAGCAAAGAAGUACCUGGCCACAUUCUGCUGGACAUAGACAAUGACACAGAAAGUACGGCAUUGUGAAGAAAGCCACUUGCCAGCCUUUGGCCCUCCAUCCUGGUGAACAGAACUGGGUCAGGCAAGCCUCUGUCCCUGCAGACCACACAGUGAGAAGCUUUCAGUGGGAGAAGGAAGGUCUGACCACGAAGGACUAGACUCCCACGGCCCACAGAGAAGGGAAAGGGCCAAUCCUCAAAGCCGGAUGACCUGUGUCGUGAAGAAGUUGGCUUGCUUUAUCUAGGACAAAAAUCAUGCCAAAAAUGAUAGAACAAGGAAAUACCUACAGUGGAAAGAGUAUUACUGCUGAGAAAUGUGUGGGAAACCUUUGCCCAUGCUGUUAACACAGACAGCAACUUGGAGUGACUAAGAGACUCACCUAUCUAUUUAAUAAAACACAUUAUAAUUAUGCAAGUUGCCUACUUCCUGCUACUUGGACUUUGGUUGUCACAUACCAGAGGGAGCUUCUGUUGUUCCUUCAGACAAGCUGCAGAAUCAUUUUGUAUUAAAUACAGUCUGUGUCUCCUCCAACCCUGAGAACCUCGAGCAUUGAUGGCGACUGCUGGCUCUGUCGCCUCAUCAAACUGGAUGUGAGUCGUGCCUUGUGGAUUGCCAGAAUAUGGAGAGAAAUAUACUGUUCUUUUUUAAAAAAAAAAAAAAAAAACAAUAUAAUGGCUACUUGAUAAAGAUGGAAUGUUAUUCUAGUUUUGUGUUUAAUUUGAAUUAAAUAUAUUCUGUGGUUUAUAAGAAAA